This 778-nucleotide ribosomal RNA is filed under the name Acrocalymma walkeri. RNAcentral describes it as "eukaryotic LSU rRNA". It matches the Rfam family "Eukaryotic large subunit ribosomal RNA", at positions 130 to 930 of the family's 3401-position model. The record is from RNAcentral. Lineage: Eukaryota; Fungi; Ascomycota; Dothideomycetes; Pleosporales; Acrocalymmaceae.
UUCGAGGUCCGAGUUGUAAUUGNCAGAGGGUGCUUUGGUGUNGGCUGCGGUCUAAGUUCCUNGGAACAGGACGUCAUAGAGGGUGAGAAUCCCGUCUGUGGUCGCAUGUCUUCACCGUGUAAAGCCCCUUCGACGAGUCGAGUUGUUUGGGAAUGCAGCUCUAAAUGGGAGGUAAAUUUCUUCUAAAGCUAAAUACUGGCCAGAGACCGAUAGCGCACAAGUAGAGUGAUCGAAAGAUGAAAAGCACUUUGGAAAGAGAGUCAAACAGCACGUGAAAUUGUUGAAAGGGAAGCGCUUGCAGCCAGACUUGCUUGCAGUUGCUCAUCCGGGCGCUCGCCCGGUGCACUCUUCUGUAGGCAGGCCAGCAUCAGUUUGGGCGGUUGGAUAAAGGCCUCUGUCACGUAUCUUCUCCGGAAGACCUUAUAGGGGAGGCGUAAUGCAACCAGCCUGGACUGAGGUCCGCGCAUCUGCUAGGAUGCUGGCGUAAUGGCUGUAAGCGGCCCGUCUUGAAACACGGACCAAGGAGUCUAACAUCUAUGCGAGUGUUUGGGUGUCAAGCCCGAGCGCGCAAUGAAAGUGAACGGAGGUGGGAACCCUCGGGUGCACCAUCGACCGAUCCUGAUGUCUUCGGAUGGAUUUGAGUAAGAGCAUAGCUGUUGGGACCCGAAAGAUGGUGAACUAUGCUUGAAUAGGGUGAAGCCAGAGGAAACUCUGGUGGAGGCUCGCAGCGGUUCUGACGUGCAAAUCGAUCGUCAAAUUUGGGCAUAGGGGCGAAAGA